RNAcentral lists this ribosomal RNA (243 nucleotides) under uncultured bacterium. Its description in RNAcentral is "partial 16S ribosomal RNA". It matches the Rfam family "Bacterial small subunit ribosomal RNA", at positions 524 to 765 of the family's 1533-position model. The record is from RNAcentral.
GACGAGGGGUCAAGCGUUGUUCGGAAUCAUUGGGCGUAAAGCGGGUGUAGGCGGCUCUAUAAGUCAGGAGUGAAAUCCCCGAGCUUAACUCGGGGAAGUGCUUUUGAUACUGCAGAGCUUGAAUGUGGGAGAGGAUAGUAGAAUUCCAGGUGUAGUGGUGAAAUACGUAGAUAUCUGGAGGAAUACCGGUGGCGAAGGCGGCUAUCUGGCCCAACAUUUGACGCUGAGACCCGAAAGCGUGGG